AUUGAACGCUGGCGGCAUGCUUUACACAUGCAAGUCGGACGGCAGCACAGAGAAGCUUGCUUCUUGGGUGGCGAGUGGCGAACGGGUGAGUAACAUAUCGGAACGUACCGAGUAGUGGGGGAUAACUGAUCGAAAGAUCAGCUAAUACCGCAUACGUCUUGAGAGGGAAAGCAGGGGACCUUCGGGCCUUGCGCUAUUCGAGCGGCCGAUAUCUGAUUAGCUAGUUGGUGGGGUAAAGGCCCACCAAGGCGACGAUCAGUAGCGGGUCUGAGAGGAUGAUCCGCCACACUGGGACUGAGACACGGCCCAGACUCCUACGGGAGGCAGCAGUGGGGAAUUUUGGACAAUGGGCGCAAGCCUGAUCCAGCCAUGCCGCGUGUCUGAAGAAGGCCUUCGGGUUGUAAAGGACUUUUGUCAGGGAAGAAAAGGCUGUUGCUAAUAUCAGCGGCUGAUGACGGUACCUGAAGAAUAAGCACCGGCUAACUACGUGCCAGCAGCCGCGGUAAUACGUAGGGUGCGAGCGUUAAUCGGAAUUACUGGGCGUAAAGCGAGCGCAGACGGUUACUUAAGCAGGAUGUGAAAUCCCCGGGCUCAACCUGGGAACUGCGUUCUGAACUGGGCGACUAGAGUGUGUCAGAGGGAGGUAGAAUUCCACGUGUAGCAGUGAAAUGCGUAGAGAUGUGGAGGAAUACCGAUGGCGAAGGCAGCCUCCUGGGAUAACACUGACGUUCAUGCUCGAAAGCGUGGGUAGCAAACAGGAUUAGAUACCCUGGUAGUCCACGCCCUAAACGAUGUCAAUUAGCUGUUGGGCAACUUGAUUGCUCAGUAGCGUAGCUAACGCGUGAAAUUGACCGCCUGGGGAGUACGGUCGCAAGAUUAAAACUCAAAUGAAUUGACGGGGACCCGCACAAGCGGUGGAUGAUGUGGAUUAAUUCGAUGCAACGCGAAGAACCUUACCUGGUCUUGACAUGUACGGAAUCCUCCAGAGACGGAGGAGUGCCUUCGGGAGCCGUAACACAGGUGCUGCAUGGCUGUCGUCAGCUCGUGUCGUGAGAUGUUGGGUUAAGUCCCGCAACGAGCGCAACCCUUGUCAUUAGUUGCCAUCAUUCAGUUGGGCACUCUAAUGAGACUGCCGGUGACAAGCCGGAGGAAGGUGGGGAUGACGUCAAGUCCUCAUGGCCCUUAUGACCAGGGCUUCACACGUCAUACAAUGGUCGGUACAGAGGGUAGCCAAGCCGCGAGGUGGAGCCAAUCUCACAAAACCGAUCGUAGUCCGGAUUGCACUCUGCAACUCGAGUGCAUGAAGUCGGAAUCGCUAGUAAUCGCAGGUCAGCAUACUGCGGUGAAUACGUUCCCGGGUCU
This 1362-nucleotide ribosomal RNA is filed under the name uncultured bacterium. Its description in RNAcentral is "bacterial SSU rRNA". It matches the Rfam family "Bacterial small subunit ribosomal RNA", at positions 28 to 1381 of the family's 1533-position model. The record is from RNAcentral.